Molecule: long non-coding RNA, 3206 nt
Organism: Gossypium arboreum
Lineage: Eukaryota; Viridiplantae; Streptophyta; Magnoliopsida; Malvales; Malvaceae
Exons: 4
Source: RefSeq, a predicted model, not a curated record
CAGCUAUUUUCAACCAAAGAUAUGCCUAAUCAGAAAAUCCUGAUGCCUGUCACUUCAUCUAUCUGUCAUCUCCAUUUCUCAAGGCAUUUCAUUUAUGAGGGGGUUUUAAUCACCAAAAGACGUUUCAUCUGUUCAUUUUGAAAAACAUUUCCCCUUGUCCCAUUCAUCUUCUCUUAUCUUCAAUCUGGUUCUCGUUCACUGUCAGUAACCUUCUGCAGUUCUGCAAAUCGAUGAACUCCUUCAACCAGCGAUCGCUUCCGCAGCGAAAGCGAAGGGGACUUCUUGAUGAAUUUUCGAGCAAGAAAGGAGAACAUCUCCUUCUCUGUUUCUAACCACAAUCCCUGAAGCCGAUUGGAAGAGUCUCGCAUCAUAUGCUCCAUCAAAGUUGAUUUUUACCGCUUGUCCCGAUGGCUCAUAACGCACAACCGAUUCGUCUAUUUUGAGGAGGAGAGUAAUGGGGCAUUUUCUAAAAAUAUGAUCCAUGGUCUCGGCUCCUGCAUUACAACGGGGACAAACUGAGUUGGACACUAACUUCCUGUGCUGCAUGUUCACUCGAGUUGUCAAAUAAUUUCAUGAAAGUUUCCAGAUUGUAAUUUUUAUUUUUGUAGGUAGUUUUAGGAGCCAUAUUUUUUUGUAAAAAUCCCUAUAGAUGUUUUGUAAAGCAUAAGCUCUAGGAUCCGAAAUCUGUAAUAGUUUGUAGGCGCUCCGCACUGAAAAUUCUCCCGACGGCUCACCACUCCACACCAUGAAAUCAUCGUGAGGCUCUCUCGCCAGAGGGAUACGAAGGAUCCUGCUACUUCUUCUUCCUCAAAGGUAUCAACAAUUAACUCUCCUUUCCAUUUACGUUCAGCACUAUUAAUCAAAUCAGCAACUUUAAAAUCUGUCAUAGUAAAAGGAACCGAGGAUAAUAUAAAUUUAAUUGCACCUGGAAUCCAUGCAUCGUUGGCAAUAGAAAUGUUCAAUCCCGUACCCACCUUCCAACAAAGGCCUUUUGCCAAGAUACCCUUUGUCGCCCAUAUAUUUUUCCAAACAUACGAGUUUUUAUUCCCCAAACAUGAAUUUAAAAAAUCCUCAUUCGGGAAGUACUUCGCUUUAAAAACUCUCGUAACUAAAGAAUCUGGAUUGGUUAUAAGCCUUCACCCUUGUUUUGCUAAAAGCGCAAUAUUAAAUUGAGACAUAUUCCUGAAGCCCAGUCCACAUUCUUCCUUAGGGUGACACAUGUGCUUCCAUUGGCACCAAUGAAUACUUCUCUUUCCAUACCUUUUUUGCCACCAGAAUUUAGCGAAAAUCAUUGGAAAUUCUCCGCACAAUGAAUUUCGUAGGAAGAAACAAGACAUAGCAUAGGUAGGUAUUGCCUGAAGAACUGAUUUGAUGAAGAUUUCCUUUCCCCCUUGUGAUAAUAGUCUACCACUCCAUCCUUCAAUUUUCCAAGAAAUCCUUAAGGUUUUGAAAAGACUCCUUUCUUCUGCCAACCAUGCGAGGGAGCCCCAAGUAUUUCUCCAAGUUUGUUGAAACCCUUACUCCUAGCAACUCUGAAAUUUCGUUCUUUAUGUGUCCUUUUGAAAUCGAACUAUAAAAUACUGUUGAUUUUUCAAAAUUUCCACAUUGGCCUGAACAGCUUUUAUAUUCUGUAAUAUUUCUUUCAUCAUCAUUGCUUUCCUUGUUGUUGCUUCGUCAAACAGAAUGCAAUCUGCAAAAAGGUGGGAAAUCUCUAGGCCUCUUCUACUAGUCUUUAUUCCUUUUAAUAGCCCUUCCCCCAUUUCCAAUCUCAUCAAUAAUGAGAAACCCUCACUGCACAUAAGAAAAAGUAAAGGGCUAAGAGGAACACCUUGUCGAAGCCCCCUAGUUGGUCGAAAAAUUCUUGCCCUACUUCCGUUAAUAUUUACUUUAUACGAGGUUGUAGUAAUGCACUUCAUGACAAGUGCCACCUAGUCUCUUGUGAAUCCCAUCUGUAACAUUAUGGCCUGAAGAAAACCCCAUUUGACUGUCAUAAGCUUUACUCAUGUUAAGUUUCACUGCCAUAUAUCCCUUUUUCCCAUCUGGCGAAAAGUAUGUAGGAUUUCAUAAGCUAGAACAUUAUCCGAAAUUAAUCUCCCGGGAACGAAAGCACUAUGUGCUUGAUCAAUACAUCUCCCAAUAACAUCUUGAAGACAAUUUGUUAUUGCUUUAGCCACAAUUUUGUAGAUAACCGUACAUAAGCUUAUAGGUCUAAAAUGAACUAGUGUUCUGGGAUUUGGACUUUUUGGAAUAAGCACAAUGUCUGUUUGAUUGAAAAAUUCAAGUUUCUGGUCAGAAUUUAAAAUUCCAAACAAAAAUUUUCGACGUCUUUUCCCCCAAUGUGCCAGUACCUCUGAAAAAAUAACGUUGGAAAACCAUCGGGACCCGAUGCUUUUGUAGACCGCAUCCCCUGUAAAGCUGUCUUAAUUUCUUUUGCAAUGAACGAAGACGAUAGUUUAGUAUUUAAAUCAUAAGAAAUACUAACACCCAUUAGCAAAUGAGACAAAUCGCCAAUUCCGUUUGACGUAAACAACUUUUGAAAAAAUAUCGUUGCAGCCUCAAUAAUUUCUAAGCUGUCCAUAGUUUCCUUUCCACCCUCCAGCUCCAACAUGGAAAUUAUGUUUAUUCGUUUUCAAGUUGAGGCGAACUUAUGAUAAAGAACAAAAUUUUUGUAUCCUAAUUUCAGCCAAUUUACUCUUGCCAUUUGUUCUCAAUACAUUUCAUGUUUGUCAAUUUCCAUUUUAAGAUGUGAUGUAACCAUUUUUUUUUUUUGAAAAAUGACGGGAAUUGAUUUGGAAAAUGAACACAAAAAUUGAGAGUUGUCACUAAUUUUUUUUGAUUAGGUGUGAUUGGGUCAUCUCGUUGAAGUGGUUUUUUAAUAAAUAAUUUGAUAUAUUUAAAUAAAAAUUUUGGUCUACGCAAAUCAAGAAAUUAGAUUUUGGAGUCAGUUACGUAUGAGGAUGGAUUAGCACCUUCGAUAUGUUUGAAAUUGGUAUUUAAUUAAUUAGUGUCUUAGUGUUGAAGAUUGAAAAUUUAAAAGAAUUUAAGAUACGAUUUUUUUUUUUGUAAAGUGAUCAUUGAAAUUUCAAAGAUAUCUUCGUCUCAAGGUAACGACAUGUUAUAUUCAGUGAGUUAGGAUAUAGUCUUGAACAUUUGAGAAUGAGUUUGCUUUUUAUUUAAAAUAAAUAUAUUUUGACCUCUUUUAGAAA